UUUAUAUUAUUUCAGAAUUUGCUAUUUUAGACACUUGGUAUAAGCUGUCAUACUACACGUGGCAUGUGGUAUCCCACUAAUUAGCUAUUUUAAACAUGUGACAAGUGGUAUGACACUGCAUUGAUGUAUGUGAAAUGUAU
Non-coding RNA from Hydra vulgaris (swiftwater hydra), 140 nucleotides. NCBI's taxonomy places the organism in Eukaryota, Metazoa, Cnidaria, Hydrozoa, Anthoathecata, Hydridae. The record is from RefSeq and is a predicted model, not a curated record.